This 236-nucleotide ribosomal RNA is filed under the name uncultured bacterium. RNAcentral's name for it is "partial 16S ribosomal RNA". It matches the Rfam family "Bacterial small subunit ribosomal RNA", at positions 1254 to 1500 of the family's 1533-position model. The record is from RNAcentral.
GCUGUGAAGCGGAGCAAAUCUCAAAAACCGGUCCCAGUUCGGAUUGUAGGCUGCAACUCGCCUACAUGAAGUCGGAGUUGCUAGUAAUCGCGGAUCAGAAUGCCGCGGUGAAUGCGUUCCCGGGUCUUGUACACACCGCCCGUCACACCAUGGAAGUUGGGGGCGCCCGAAGUUGCCUAAGAAAUAAGGUACCUAAGGCGAAACCAAUGACUGGGGUGAAGUCGUAACAAGGUAAC